This 103-nucleotide microRNA precursor is filed under the name Marmota monax (woodchuck). The record is from RNAcentral. Lineage: Eukaryota; Metazoa; Chordata; Mammalia; Rodentia; Sciuridae.
AGAGGAAUAGCUGGGUCAAAUGGUGGUUCCAUUCCCAGAUUUCCAAGGAAUCUCCAUACUGCUUUCCAAAUUGGCUGCACCAAUUUGCAAUCCCACCAGCAAU